GCAAUAAAACUGAUUCAAAUACUUCAGUUUGCACUAAACCUGCGCUGCAACUCUUACAUCAGAAUUAAUAUUCAGAAUCGCUGGUAGUGGUAGAGUGAGCGUUCCUCUCUCACCCUCCCCCCCCUUCAUACUUCGUCUCUCUGCGUCCUGAGAGCUCGGAGUAUAGAAGCAUUAGAGAUGUCAACCUGCACAACCUCCUUGGAAAGGUCGUUAUCAUUUAUUUCUGUCUUAUCUUGAAAUAAAUGAUUUGUAUAACUUUA
This is a long non-coding RNA of Eurytemora carolleeae, 260 nucleotides long. RefSeq lists it as uncharacterized. The transcript has 2 exons. Lineage: Eukaryota; Metazoa; Arthropoda; Copepoda; Calanoida; Temoridae. The record is from RefSeq and is a predicted model, not a curated record.